GUGGCUAACUGUCAGCAUGUAACUGACAGUGUAUAUAUAGUUUAUAGCACUACAGUAAGUUUCCACUCGAGAUCACAGUCCUCGAUCUCACCCCUAAAUACCCCACCAAAAAGUGCCUAAUGGAGACUUUGCUAUUUAAUUAUGCCAGAUAACUAAUGUAGAUCGUAGAGAGAAGGAUAAUGUCAUAGUGUAAAUCAAUUAAAAUAUGUCUACUCCAAAU
Long non-coding RNA from Hyla sarda, 220 nucleotides. RefSeq lists it as uncharacterized. The record is from RefSeq and is a predicted model, not a curated record. Lineage: Eukaryota; Metazoa; Chordata; Amphibia; Anura; Hylidae. The transcript is spliced from 3 exons.